GUAACCUACCUAUAACAGGGGCAUAACACUGAAAAAUUGGUACUAAUUCCCCAUAAUAUUCGGAGAGGCAUCUCUCCGGGUUGAAAACUCCGGAGGUUAUAGAUGGACAUGCGUUGUAUUGGCUAGUUGGUGAGGUAACGGCUCACCAAGGCAACCAUACAUAGGGGGACUGAAAGGUUAACCC
This 184-nucleotide ribosomal RNA is filed under the name uncultured Bacteroidota bacterium. RNAcentral's name for it is "uncultured Bacteroidetes bacterium partial 16S ribosomal RNA". It matches the Rfam family "Bacterial small subunit ribosomal RNA", at positions 121 to 306 of the family's 1533-position model. Lineage: Bacteria; Pseudomonadati; Bacteroidota. The record is from RNAcentral.